AACGAACGCUGGCGGCAUGCCUAACACGUGCAAGUCGAACGCUCACUUGGGUUUCGACCCUUGUGGGAGUGGCGCACGGGUGAGUAGCGCGUGGGAACCUGCCCUGUUGUGGGGAUAACCGAGGGAAACUUCGGCUAAUACCGCAUACGCCCCGGGGCAACUCGGGGGAAAGAUUUAUCGCCGCAGGAGGGGCCCGCGUCGGAUUAGCUGGUUGGUGGGGUAACGGCCUACCAAGGCGAUGAUCCGUAGCUGGUCUGAGAGGAUGACCAGCCACGCUGGGACUGAGACAGGACCCAGACUCCUACGGGAGGCAGCAGUGGGGAAUAUUGGACAAUGGGGGCAACCCUGAUCCAGCAAUGCCGCGUGAGUGAUGAAGGCCUUCGGGUUGUAAAGCUCUUUCGCCCGCGACGAUGAUGACGGUAGCGGGAGAAGAAGCCCCGGCUAACUUCGUGCCAGCAGCCGCCGUAA
This 468-nucleotide ribosomal RNA is filed under the name uncultured bacterium. Its description in RNAcentral is "partial 16S ribosomal RNA". It matches the Rfam family "Bacterial small subunit ribosomal RNA", at positions 28 to 523 of the family's 1533-position model. The record is from RNAcentral.